RNAcentral lists this unclassified non-coding RNA (246 nucleotides) under Hevea brasiliensis (rubber tree). The record is from RNAcentral. Lineage: Eukaryota; Viridiplantae; Streptophyta; Magnoliopsida; Malpighiales; Euphorbiaceae.
AAUGACUUCGCUCAGUUUGUCGUUUUAAAUGAAGAGGGAAGAACGACAUCAUCACCGUCUUCUUCUUCAUCAUCAUCGAAUUAUUGAUGGUGUUGAUGAAUGGGAUUGCAAUUGCAGAUGAAUUGGCAGCCGAGUUUGCUCAGUCAGAAAAGGAAGAACGGCCCGCCUUUAGGGUUGAGAAAUCUCGGCAACUCUUGCUAUCUCAAUAGCGUCCUUCAGUGCCUUACUUACACUCCUCCCCUUGCC